This 266-nucleotide ribosomal RNA is filed under the name uncultured bacterium. Its description in RNAcentral is "partial 16S ribosomal RNA". It matches the Rfam family "Bacterial small subunit ribosomal RNA", at positions 87 to 354 of the family's 1533-position model. The record is from RNAcentral.
UUAUCUUAGUGGCGGACGGGUGAGUAACGCGUGGGUAACCUGCCUUACACUGGGGGAUAACACUUAGAAAUAGGUGCUAAUACCGCAUAACAGGAGAAGACGCAUGUCUUUUCCUUGAAAACUCCGGUGGUGUAAGAUGGACCCGCGUCUGAUUAGCUGGUUGGCGGGGCAACGGCCCACCAAGGCGACGAUCAGUAGCCGGCCUGAGAGGGUGAACGGCCACAUUGGGACUGAGACACGGCCCAAACUCCUACGGAAGGCAGCAG